AUCAGGUCUCAGUCUUUUGGCUAAGAUCAAAUGUAGUAUCUGUGCUUAUCAGUUUAAUAUCUAAUCUGUCCUCUAUCCCAGGACAAUAUAUUAAAUGGAUUUUUGACACUAGGAGUUGUACUAGGAGCUUGCUCCAUCCACUCCCAGCAUUGACCCGGUAUUGCAGUAUCUCCACAAAUGGUGAACUCCCA
This is a small nuclear RNA of Peromyscus maniculatus bairdii (prairie deer mouse), 191 nucleotides long. Its record names the gene U2. It matches the Rfam family "U2 spliceosomal RNA". From Rfam's summary of the family: U2 is a small nuclear RNA (snRNA) component of the spliceosome (involved in pre-mRNA splicing). Lineage: Eukaryota; Metazoa; Chordata; Mammalia; Rodentia; Cricetidae. The record is from Ensembl.